CUUAGCAGCUCUACUACAGUGGAAGACCUAUUGACUUAAUAUUGGUUAAUCAGGUCUUAGUGUUUGCAACUUGAGCUCUUCAUAAGAGGUAAUCGAACAAUUGGCCAGGUAAGUAGGUGGGAGGCUCCCCUUACUCAGAGAGUAAGGUCCUAAUUAAGUAACCACCUUUCAUCCUUUCCUAGACACCAAUUAGAUCAAUUAAUCUAAUAUGACUUGCUCAUGUCGGUUCACUCUCGACUUGAUUGAGGAGGUUUUAAUUUAGGUCUCAAUUGGGUUUGCUACAUCACAUGUAAACCUAUCUACCCGGCUUUCAUUCACAUCACAUGCA
Molecule: long non-coding RNA, 328 nt
Filed under: Phoenix dactylifera (date palm)
Lineage: Eukaryota; Viridiplantae; Streptophyta; Magnoliopsida; Arecales; Arecaceae
Description: long non-coding RNA (PDAC_LNC010239)
Source: RNAcentral